UUUGUAAUUUUGUAUGUACAGCCAACUGGUUGGUCAUGGGCAUCGAUAUCAGCAAGGUUGUUUCGCACUGGACAGUCUUCAGAACAGAAAUUGAAAGGAUAUGAAGACGACGUGCAGUUGGCUGAUCAGAACAUGCAACAAUUACAAGAGGAGCUGUCCUCAUUUGUCGACACGGCCGUUAAGGAGACUAAAGACUUUCAUUCCCAGAAGAAGCACGAUUUUCAAGAACUACUUCUGUCAUCAACUCGUCGCCAACUAGAACUAGCUAAUCAAACUCUCUCUAAGUGGGAGAACAUACGGGACACUCUACAGUUAUUGUGAUUGAUAUCAACAUACGAGUUUUUGAAUUUACAGUACUACACAAUAUCCCUAAUGCAUGAGUGUACAUACAGUUCGUUGACCUGUAUGGAGUGUCUCUCUGGUCGUCGUAUUUCAUGUUGACUGUAAACGAUCAAUGCUGUUUCUUAAGAUUUAUUUUGAGAUUGAAAUUAAUGCAAUGUGAUCAGGAUGAUGUGUUG
Molecule: long non-coding RNA, 518 nt
Organism: Corticium candelabrum
Lineage: Eukaryota; Metazoa; Porifera; Homoscleromorpha; Homosclerophorida; Plakinidae
Exons: 3
Source: RefSeq, a predicted model, not a curated record